CCCAGCACUGGAAGAAAAAAACAUUUAUUUAUUUAUUUACUUUUAGUUGACAGGUCGUUUCUGGUGCAGGCAGCUUUCCUGAACACCUUUCCACAGUUUCUGUUUUGGCGCUCAGCAAUGGCCCUUUGUAACUGCGGGGAGCCAGAGACAGCAGACACUUCACCAGCUUGAGCCAUGCGCUGCAGACACAGUGCUAUAUCUCUCCUCCCAGUAGCUGGUCAGGCCAGCAGUACAGACCCUACAGCUUCUUCACUAAAUGAAACCCACCAACAGCUGGCCGACAAGAAGGGUCUCCAUGUGGUGGAAUUCCGGGAGGAAUGUGGUCCCCUGCCCAUCCUGGUCGCCUCCCCCCGGGGGGCCUUGAGGAAGGAUCCCCAGCCAGAAGAGGAGGUUCCCGACAUCAGGCUGGACUGGGAAGAGGUGAAGGCUGCACAGGGAAUGAAGAAUCUGUGUGUUCAGGUCUCAAGAGGGCCGCCACCUGACUUUCCCACCACUGACCUUCCCACCACUGACCUUCUGCCACCUGGCCUCCCCACUGCAGCACUGUGCCUGCUGCCCUAGGCGCCUGGGACUCCCCACUCACCUUGCCAUGUUGCCUGGUUUUGUUUUUGUUUUCUCAGGAAAUUCCAACCUUCUUUACUUGCAUAUAAAUAAUUCUAGUUUUGAUUUAUUGAUCACGUGAUCUAUGCCAGGCAGUGUGACAGGGAUGUUAUGUACUGACCUCAGUUCAAGACUACUUUAAAUACUCCAUGAAACCAGCAAAAGUAAAUGGAGCAGGGAGACAGGAAAAGACCCACCCAGGGGUAAUGUGCACAAGGAUGUGAAGGGCUGUGGUGGCUGUGCCCGAGGCCCACUCGUGCUGGCCCAUCCAUGGGAGGUGACCUCCUGCCCUGUCCCCCAUGGCUGCACCCACCUCCAGCAGGGCCCAGGCUGCCCUGGUGGCAGGAAGUGCCUCAUUGUUCCAACUUGCACAUCAAGUGCCAGCAGCAAGAACCUCUUGUCACACACUUGACACCGCUUGUGUGAUGUCUAGAGAAAUGUCUCCUCACCUCUUUUUGCCCAUUUGAAAAAUUGAGUUAUUUGUGUUUUUAUCAUUGAGUUGUAAAGAUGCUUUAGUAUUGUGGACACAGGCCCCUGUAAGGGUGUGACCCACCAUGUUCCUCCUCCAUGGGCAGAUCAUCAUUUCCUAUUUCUUUUAAUACUUUCUCUGCCCCCAUCCUCCUCCAGUCCUCUGCCUACCCAGGUAGGCCCUUCUCACAGUCCCCCAGUUUAUUGUCUUUAAGACAAUAGAGUAGUUAAAGCACAAUUAAUGCCAACAUGUUUUUUACACAUGUAGAUGUGCAAUGUAUAACAACACAGAGACCAGGCAGGAGUCCUGGAAAUACGCUGUCAUGUGGUUCUUGCAUGGGGUCAUUUGAAGGUGGACUGGUUAAGGUAAAGAUGUGCACUUAACCCUAUUGUAAAGGAGUCACUAGCAUGACACAGAGCUGUAGCUAUUAAGCCAGCAAAGAGAAUGAGAUGCAAUCUUAAAAAUAACUCAUUGUGCUGGUGCAGUGGCACACACCUGUAAUCCUAGCUGCUCAGGAGGCUGUGCAGGAGGUUCGCAAGUUCAAGGCUAGCCUCAGCAACUUAGCAGGACCCUGUCUAAGAAAGGGCUGGGCAAACAUACAAUGCUCUUGAUUUGUUGAUUAUACAUGUCCUUUGAUUAAAGUCCAAACAUAACAAGUCUUUAGAGACAUUUUGUAUCAAAAAAAAAAAAGAAAGAAACUGUGUUCUUUUGCAAGUUGCUAGAUAAUGUAGAAAUUUGGUACAAAAGAAACAAAAUGCAAAAAAUGUGUACAUAUAAAUAGUGAACAGGAUUGCCUGAAGUGUGUAAUACUUGUUUAUUUAGUGUGUGCCCUUGCAGACUAUUUUACAUGUUUGUAUGACAUGACAUACCUGUAUGUGUGAGAGUGUGUAUGUGAGAGAGAGAGAG
Molecule: long non-coding RNA, 1975 nt
Organism: Ictidomys tridecemlineatus (thirteen-lined ground squirrel)
Lineage: Eukaryota; Metazoa; Chordata; Mammalia; Rodentia; Sciuridae
Source: Ensembl